AUUGAACGCUGGCGGCAUGCUUUACACAUGCAGGUCGAACGGCAGCGCGGGCUUCGGCCUGGCGGCGAGUGGCGAACGGGUGAGUAAUGCAUCGGAACGUGCCCAGUAGUGGGGGAUAGCCCGGCGAAAGCCGGAUUAAUACCGCAUACGACCUGAGAGUGAAAGCGGGGGACCGAAAGGCCUCGCGCUAUUGGAGCGGCCGAUGUCGGAUUAGCUAGUUGGUGGGGUAAAGGCUUACCAAGGCGACGAUCCGUAGCUGGUCUGAGAGGACGACCAGCCACACUGGGACUGAGACACGGCCCAGACUCCUACGGGAGGCAGCAGUGGGGAAUUUUGGACAAAGGGGGCAACCCUGAUCCAGCCAUGCCGCGUGCGGGAAGAAGGCCUUCGGGUUGUAAACCGCUUUUGUUCGGGAAGAAAUCCUCUGGGCUAAUACCCCGGGGGGAUGACGGUACCGGAAGAAUAAGCACCGGCUAACUACGUG
Molecule: ribosomal RNA, 484 nt
Filed under: uncultured bacterium
Lineage: Bacteria
Description: partial 16S ribosomal RNA
Rfam family: Bacterial small subunit ribosomal RNA
Source: RNAcentral